Long non-coding RNA from Mauremys mutica (yellowpond turtle), 223 nucleotides. RefSeq lists it as uncharacterized. The transcript is spliced from 3 exons. The record is from RefSeq and is a predicted model, not a curated record. NCBI's taxonomy places the organism in Eukaryota, Metazoa, Chordata, Testudines, Geoemydidae.
UCCAGCUCAUCCCAUCCUCCCAUGGGACAGGGGAGAGAAAUGGCUGCAGAGGAGCCUGUUCAGAGGCCAGUGACUUAUGAGGAGGUGGCUGUUAUUUCACCAGGGAAGAGUGGGCUCUGCUGGACCCUGCUCAGAGAGCCCUCUACAGAGACGUCAUGCAGGAGAACUAUGAGAACGUGACCUUGCUGGGGGCCAAUGGCCUGCGAGGAGGGGGCUGUGUAUU